This 213-nucleotide unclassified non-coding RNA is filed under the name Hevea brasiliensis (rubber tree). Lineage: Eukaryota; Viridiplantae; Streptophyta; Magnoliopsida; Malpighiales; Euphorbiaceae. The record is from RNAcentral.
CACAAUCGGAGCAACAAUCAACCCUACAUUUUUACUCCCGGGACCUUUCCCAUUCUUGUGAUUCACUUGGCAGUGUGCAGCCACAAGCUGAUGCUUGCUGUCUCCAGUCAAACAAUUUCCAGCAACCUUAACCACCCUCUUGUUGAAAUCAGAGUUCAGGCAAGGCGGUAAACUUCCGGUCAAUUUAUUAGCAGAGAGAUCGACGAAUCCCAG